RNAcentral lists this ribosomal RNA (292 nucleotides) under uncultured bacterium. RNAcentral describes it as "partial 16S ribosomal RNA". It matches the Rfam family "Bacterial small subunit ribosomal RNA", at positions 505 to 796 of the family's 1533-position model. The record is from RNAcentral.
GUGUCAGCAGCCGCGGUAAUACAGAGGGUGCGAGCGUUGUUCGGAAUUAUUGGGCGUAAAGCGCGUGUAGGCGGCGCUGCAUGUCGGGUGUGAAAGCCCUCGGCUUAACCGGGGAAGUGCGCCCGAAACUGCAGUGCUUGAGUGCCGGAGAGGGUAGCGGAAUUCCGGGUGUAGAGGUGAAAUUCGUAGAUAUCCGGAGGAACACCAGUGGCGAAGGCGGCUACCUGGACGGACACUGACGCUGAGACGCGAAAGCGUGGGUAGCAAACAGGAUUAGAUACCCCCGUAGUCC